RNAcentral lists this ribosomal RNA (590 nucleotides) under Morchella sp. Mes-12. RNAcentral describes it as "eukaryotic LSU rRNA". It matches the Rfam family "Eukaryotic large subunit ribosomal RNA", at positions 51 to 653 of the family's 3401-position model. Lineage: Eukaryota; Fungi; Ascomycota; Pezizomycetes; Pezizales; Morchellaceae. The record is from RNAcentral.
CGGAGGAAAAGAAACCAACAGGGAUUGCCUCAGUAACGGCGAGUGAAGCGGCAAAAGCUCAAAUUUUAAAGCUGGCACCUCCGGUGUCCGCGUUGUAAUUUUGUGAGGCAUCUCCGGGUAGGGCGCCGGCCUAAGUUCCUUGGAACAGGACGUCAUAGAGGGUGAGAAUCCCGUGCUUGGCUGGCUGUCCCCGUCCAUGUGAGGUGUCUUCGACGAGUCGAGUUGUUUGGGAAUGCAGCUCAAAAUGGGUGGUAAAUUUCAUCUAAAGCUAAAUAUUGGUGGGAGACCGAUAGCGCACAAGUAGAGUGAUCGAAAGAUGAAAAGCACUUUGAAAAUAGAGUUAAAAAGUACGUGAAAUUGUUGAAAGGGAAGCGCUUGAGACCAGAUUUCGGUGGGGAGUGAUCAGCUGUCCUUCUGGGCGGUGCACUUGCUCCCCUCCGGGCCAGCAUCGGUUGGGACGGCGGGAUAAAGGUCCCGGGAAUGUGGCUCCUUUCGGGGAGUGUUAUAGCCCGGGUGAAUGCCGUCAGCCCCGACCGAGGACCGCGCCUUCGGGCUAGGAUGCUUGGCAUAAUGGUCUUCAGCGACCCGUC